AUUUGGCUGGCUCAGUUGGUAGAGCACAGGACUGUUGAUCUCAGGGUUGUGAGUUCAAGCCCCACGCUGGAUG
RNAcentral lists this transfer RNA (73 nucleotides) under Canis lupus familiaris (dog). It matches the Rfam family "tRNA". Rfam says of the family: Transfer RNA (tRNA) molecules are approximately 80 nucleotides in length. Lineage: Eukaryota; Metazoa; Chordata; Mammalia; Carnivora; Canidae. RNAcentral also lists the same sequence under 1 other name. The record is from Rfam by way of RNAcentral.